RNAcentral lists this ribosomal RNA (352 nucleotides) under uncultured bacterium. RNAcentral's name for it is "bacterial SSU rRNA". It matches the Rfam family "Bacterial small subunit ribosomal RNA", at positions 8 to 350 of the family's 1533-position model. The record is from RNAcentral.
AGAGUUUGAUCCUGGCUCAGGAUGAACGCUAGCUACAGGCUUAACACAUGCAAGUCGAGGGGCAGCAUGGUCUUAGCUUGCUAAGGCCGAUGGCGACCGGCGCACGGGUGAGUAACGCGUAUCCAACCUGCCUUACACUCUUGGACAGCCUUCUGAAAGGGAGAUUAAUACAAGAUGUUAUCAUGAGUAAGCAUUUUCGCAUGAUUAAAGGUUUACCGGUGUAAGAUGGGGAUGCGUUCCAUUAGAUAGUAGGCGGGGUAACGGCCCACCUAGUCUUCGAUGGAUAGGGGUUCUGGAGAGGAAGGGUCCCCCACAUUGGAACUGAGACACGGUCCAAACUCCUACGGAGGCA